Molecule: long non-coding RNA, 278 nt
Filed under: Hordeum vulgare
Lineage: Eukaryota; Viridiplantae; Streptophyta; Magnoliopsida; Poales; Poaceae
Description: long non-coding RNA (HVUL_LNC003235)
Source: RNAcentral
ACAUAUAUGCAAAGUUGCAUAACAAAUUUCAUGAUCCAUAUAUCAAAACUCCGUAGCAUCCAUACAUCCAAAAUUCCAUAGCAUCCAUAUAUACAUAUAGUUCCAUAGCAUCCAUACAUACAUAGCUCCAUAGCAACAACGAUACUUUGCGGGCAUUAGUAAGUAAUAAUUGGCACUAAAACAAUUGCCUUCAUGUCCAUAUCGUAGUCCAAAGAGCAUCCGCGUGGCAAUGGGUGGGUUCAUCCUCCUGGUUGUAAUCACCGUCGAUGUCCUCGUCC